Molecule: ribosomal RNA, 500 nt
Filed under: uncultured bacterium
Lineage: Bacteria
Description: partial 16S ribosomal RNA
Rfam family: Bacterial small subunit ribosomal RNA
Source: RNAcentral
AUUGAACGCUGGCGGCAGGCCUAACACAUGCAAGUCGAGCGGUAGAGAGAAGCUUGCUUCUCUCGAGAGCGGCGGACGGGUGAGUAAUGCCUAGGAAUCUGACUGGUAGUGGGGGAUAACGGUCGGAAACGGACGCUAAUACCGCAUACGUCCUACGGGAGAAAGCAGGAGACCUUCGGGCCUUGCGCUAUCAGAUGCGCCUAGGUCGGAUGAGCUAGUUGGUGGGGUAAUGGCUCACCAAGGCGACGAUCCGUAACUGGUCUGAGAGGAUGAUCGGUCACACUGCGACUGAGACAGGGGCCAGACUCCCACGGGAGGCAGGAGUGGGGAAUAUGGGACAAUGGGCGAAAGCCGGAUCCAGCCAUGCCGCGUGGGUGAAGAGGGUCUUCGGAUGGUAAAGCACUUUAAGUUGGGAGGAAGGGCAGUAAAUUAAUACUUUGCUGUUUUGACGUUACCGACAGAAUAAGCACCGGCUAACUCUGUGCCAGCCGCCGCCGUAA